UUAAAUUGAAGAGUUUGAUCAUGGCUCAGAUUGAACGCUGGCGGCAGGCUUAACACAUGCAAGUCGAACGGUAGCAGAAGAAAACUUGUUUUCUUGCUGACGAGUGGCGGACGGGUGAGUAAUGCUUGGGAAUCUGGCUUAUGGAGGGGGAUAACUACGGGAAACUGUAGCUAAUACCGCGUAAUAUCGAAAGAUUAAAGUAUGGGAUCGUAAGACCAUAUGCCAUAAGAUGAGCCCAAGUGGGAUUAGGUAGUUGGUGGGGUAAAGGCCUACCAAGCCGACGAUCUCUAGCUGGUCUGAGAGGAUGACCAGCCACACUGGAACUGAGACACGGUCCA
RNAcentral lists this ribosomal RNA (338 nucleotides) under Lonepinella koalarum. RNAcentral describes it as "bacterial SSU rRNA". It matches the Rfam family "Bacterial small subunit ribosomal RNA", at positions 1 to 333 of the family's 1533-position model. Lineage: Bacteria; Pseudomonadati; Pseudomonadota; Gammaproteobacteria; Pasteurellales; Pasteurellaceae. The record is from RNAcentral.